RNAcentral lists this ribosomal RNA (644 nucleotides) under uncultured Actinomycetes bacterium. Its description in RNAcentral is "bacterial SSU rRNA". It matches the Rfam family "Bacterial small subunit ribosomal RNA", at positions 231 to 885 of the family's 1533-position model. Lineage: Bacteria; Bacillati; Actinomycetota; Actinomycetes. The record is from RNAcentral.
UCGCGGCCUAUCAGCUUGUUGGUGGGGUAAUGGCCCACCAAGGCGACGACGGGUAGCCGGCCUGAGAGGGCGACCGGCCACACUGGGACUGAGACACGGCCCAGACUCCUACGGGAGGCAGCAGUGGGGAAUAUUGCACAAUGGGCGAAAGCCUGAUGCAGCGACGCCGCGUGAGGGAUGACGGCCUUCGGGUUGUAAACCUCUUUCAGCAGGGAAGAAGCGAAAGUGACGGUACCUGCAGAAGAAGCGCCGGCUAACUACGUGCCAGCAGCCGCGGUAAUACGUAGGGCGCAAGCGUUGUCCGGAAUUAUUGGGCGUAAAGAGCUCGUAGGCGGCUUGUCACGUCGGAUGUGAAAGCCCGAGGCUUAACCUCGGGUCUGCAUUCGAUACGGGCUAGCUAGAGUGUGGUAGGGGAGGUCGGAAUUCCUGGUGUAGCGGUGAAAUGCGCAGAUAUCAGGAGGAACACCGGUGGCGAAGGCGGAUCUCUGGGCCAUUACUGACGCUGAGGAGCGAAAGCGUGGGGAGCGAACAGGAUUAGAUACCCUGGUAGUCCACGCCGUAAACGUUGGGAACUAGGUGUUGGCGACAUUCCACGUCGUCGGUGCCGCAGCUAACGCAUUAAGUUCCCCGCCUGGGGAGUACGG